Molecule: ribosomal RNA, 39 nt
Filed under: Russula ochroleuca
Lineage: Eukaryota; Fungi; Basidiomycota; Agaricomycetes; Russulales; Russulaceae
Description: partial 25S ribosomal RNA
Source: RNAcentral
ACCUCAAAUCGGGUGAGACUACCCGCUGAACUUAAGCAU